Molecule: ribosomal RNA, 448 nt
Filed under: uncultured bacterium
Lineage: Bacteria
Description: bacterial SSU rRNA
Rfam family: Bacterial small subunit ribosomal RNA
Source: RNAcentral
CCCAGACUCCUACGGGAGGCAGCAGUGGGGAAUAUUGCACAAUGGGGGAAACCCUGAUGCAGCGACGCCGCGUGAGUGAAGAAGUAUUUCGGUAUGUAAAGCUCUCUCAGCAGGGAAGAUAAUGACGGUACCUGAGUAAGAAGCCCCGGCUAACUACGUGCCAGCAGCCGCGGUAAUACGUAGGGGGCAAGCGUUAUCCGGAUUUACUGGGUGUAAAGGGAGCGUAGACGGCAUGGCAAGUCUGAAGUGAAAGCCCGGGGCUCAACCGCGGGACUGCUUUGGAAACUGUUAAGCUGGAGUGCAGGAGAGGUAAGUGGAAUUCCUAGUGUAGCGGUGAAAUGCGUAGAUAUUAGGAGGAACACCAGUGGCGAAGGCGGCUUACUGGACUGUAACUGACGUUGAGGCUCGAAAGCGUGGGGAGCAAACAGGAUUAGAUACCCUAGUAUGA